Long non-coding RNA from Drosophila nasuta, 518 nucleotides. RefSeq lists it as uncharacterized. NCBI's taxonomy places the organism in Eukaryota, Metazoa, Arthropoda, Insecta, Diptera, Drosophilidae. The transcript is spliced from 3 exons. The record is from RefSeq and is a predicted model, not a curated record.
UGCAGUAUUUUGCCUGCUGUCUGCACUUUUUAUAAUUAAUUUGUCAUUUCUUUGCACGCACACGAAUUUCUGUAACUUUACAAUUAAAUUCACACGGGUUUAACGCAUCAAAUGCCACUACAGCGCCGUUGAUGAGCAUGCGCCGCCUUAAAAGGUGCUUUGUGAAACACGCAAUUGGACGAUGGACAAUUGACGAAUUAUGUUUAUAUUUUAAUCGUUUUUCACAAAUUGCACACGAUGUGUAGAUUGCCGGAUAUGCGGAGAAAGAUUCCGGACGAACCAACCUUAAGCGAACAGCGUGACCGCAAGUUGAGUUUCGAAAUUUACGUUUUAAUGCAUAAAUAUACCAAAUUGCAGACAUCCCCAUAGCAGCGACAUGGUAACACUUCAUAUGGUAUAUUAGUAUUUUUCCAAAACGCGGGUGAAAAGACGCGUACAAGUUUAGAAGUCGUGAAGAAUAUUUCUUCUCAGCGUGUAGUGGAACAAUUUCGAAAACUAUGAUAAAGUAUCUAAAUAAA